Molecule: ribosomal RNA, 274 nt
Filed under: uncultured bacterium
Lineage: Bacteria
Description: partial 16S ribosomal RNA
Rfam family: Bacterial small subunit ribosomal RNA
Source: RNAcentral
AUACGGAGGGUGCAAGCGUUACUCGGAAUCACUGGGCGUAAAGCGCGCGCAGGCGGCUAUUUAAGUUGGAUGUGAAAGCCUACGGCUCAACCGUAGAACUGCAUCCAAAACUAUUUAGCUAGAGUGUGGGAGAGGAAGAUGGAAUUAGUUGUGGAGGGGUAAAAUCCGUAGAGAUAACUAGGAAUACCAAAAGCGAAGGCAAUCUUCUGGAACACUACUGACGCUGAGGCGCGAAAGCGUGGGGAGCAAACGGGAUUAGAUACCCUAGUAGUCC